RNAcentral lists this ribosomal RNA (491 nucleotides) under uncultured bacterium. Its description in RNAcentral is "partial 16S ribosomal RNA". It matches the Rfam family "Bacterial small subunit ribosomal RNA", at positions 29 to 507 of the family's 1533-position model. The record is from RNAcentral.
GUGAACGCUGGCGGUAGGCCUAACACACGCAAGUCGAACGGCAGCACCGUAAGAGCUUGCUCUUACGGGUGGCGAGUGGCGGACGGGUGAGGAAUACAUCGGAAUCUACUUUUUCGUGGGGGAUAACGUAGGGAAACUUACGCUAAUACCGCAUACGACCUACGGGUGAAAGCAGGGGAUCUUCGGACCUUGCGCGAUUGCAUGAGCCGAUGUCGGAUUAGCUAGUUGGCGGGGUAAAGGCCCACCAAGGCGACGAUCCGUAGCUGGUCUGAGAGGAUGAUCAGCCACACUGGAACUGAGACACGGUCCAGACUCCUACGGGAGGCAGCAGUGGGGAAUAUUGGACAAUGGGCGCAAGCCUGAUCCAGCCAUACCGCGUGGGUGAAGAAGGCCUUCGGGUUGUAAAGCCCUUUUGUUGGGAAAGAAAAGCAGCAGGUUAAUACCCCGCUGUUCUGACGGUACCCAAAGAAUAAGCACCGGCUAACUUCGUG